CCUACGGUAGGCAACAGUGGGGAAUAUUGGACAAUGGGCGCAAGCSUGAUCCAGCCAUGCCGCGUGAGUUAUGAAGGUCUUAGGAUUGUAAAGCUCUUUUGCCAGGGAMGAUAAUGACGGUACCUGCAGAAUAAGCCCCGGCUAACUUCGUG
Molecule: ribosomal RNA, 152 nt
Filed under: uncultured bacterium
Lineage: Bacteria
Description: partial 16S ribosomal RNA
Rfam family: Bacterial small subunit ribosomal RNA
Source: RNAcentral